AUGUGAUAGAUAUAUGCAUGCCAUAUAUGUAUAUGUAUAUGUGUAUAUGUGUGUGUACACACACACACA
Molecule: microRNA precursor, 69 nt
Filed under: Pongo abelii (Sumatran orangutan)
Lineage: Eukaryota; Metazoa; Chordata; Mammalia; Primates; Hominidae
Description: miRNA
Source: RNAcentral